This 426-nucleotide ribosomal RNA is filed under the name uncultured bacterium. RNAcentral describes it as "bacterial SSU rRNA". It matches the Rfam family "Bacterial small subunit ribosomal RNA", at positions 355 to 773 of the family's 1533-position model. The record is from RNAcentral.
UGGGGAAUAUUGGGCAAUGGGCGAAAGCCUGACCCAGCCACGCCGCGUGAGCGAUGAAGGCCUUCGGGUCGUAAAGCUCUGUGGGGAGGGACGAACAAAUCUGGGGCUAAUCACCCGGGUCCUGACGGUACCUCCUUAGCAAGCACCGGCUAACCCUGUGCCAGCAGCCGCGGUAAUACAGGGGGUGCAAACGUUGCUCGGAAUCAUUGGGCGUAAAGCGCACGUAGGCGGUUCGUUAUGUCGGAUGUGAAAGCCCUUGGCUUAACCGAGGAAGUGCAUCCGAAACUGGCGAGCUAGAGUACGAAAGAGGAUCGCGGAAUUCCCGGUGUAGAGGUGAAAUUCGUAGAUAUCGGGAGGAACACCGGUGGCGAAGGCGGCGAUCUGGGUCGAUACUGACGCUGAGGUGCGAAAGCGUGGGGAGCAAAC